GUAGGUGGCAAGCGUUGUCCGGAAUUAUUGGGCGUAAAGCGCGCGCAGGCGGUGCUUUAAGUCUGAUGUGAAAGCCCACGGCUCAACCGUGGAGGGUCAUUGGAAACUGGAGAACUUGAGUACAGAAGAGGAAAGCGGAAUUCCACGUGUAGCGGUGAAAUGCGUAGAGAUGUGGAGGAACACCAGUGGCGAAGGCGGCUUUCUGGUCUGUAACUGACGCUGAGGCGCGAAAGCGUGGGGAGCAAACAGGAUUAGAUACCCUGGUAGUCCACGCCGUAAACGAUGAGUGCUAAGUGUUAGGGGGUUUUCCGCCCCCCUUAGUGCUGCAGCUAACGCAUUAAGCACCCCCCGCCUGGGGAGUACGGCCGCAAGGCUG
RNAcentral lists this ribosomal RNA (376 nucleotides) under uncultured organism. Its description in RNAcentral is "partial 16S ribosomal RNA". It matches the Rfam family "Bacterial small subunit ribosomal RNA", at positions 527 to 896 of the family's 1533-position model. The record is from RNAcentral.